This 74-nucleotide transfer RNA is filed under the name Crassvirales sp. RNAcentral describes it as "tRNA-Glu". It matches the Rfam family "tRNA". From Rfam's summary of the family: Transfer RNA (tRNA) molecules are approximately 80 nucleotides in length. Their secondary structure includes four short double-helical elements and three loops (D, anti-codon, and T loops). Lineage: Duplodnaviria; Heunggongvirae; Uroviricota; Caudoviricetes; Crassvirales. The record is from RNAcentral.
GCUGCAUUAGUGGAAUGGUUAGCACACCACCCUUUCAAGGUCGGAGAUUAUUGGUUCGAAUCCAAUAUGCAGUA